Long non-coding RNA from Hyla sarda, 1547 nucleotides. RefSeq lists it as uncharacterized. The transcript is spliced from 3 exons. The record is from RefSeq and is a predicted model, not a curated record. NCBI's taxonomy places the organism in Eukaryota, Metazoa, Chordata, Amphibia, Anura, Hylidae.
GCCAACUCACCACUCCAUGCACAAGGAAAGACAGGGCCUCAUUUUGGAGACUGUGGGGGGUCCCAUAGGUCUGACCCAUGUGAUGAGACACAUAUCCCCUAUCCUGAGGAUAGUGCCUACAUUUUAAAGUAGUAGAGUACUCCUUUAAACUCCAGACCCCUUUUUUGUGGGACAAGCAUGAAGAGACGCAUUCCGGACUAAAAUGGCACAGUUGUCAAAGCAAACACAUAACGCCCAAUGACUUAUACUAUUGGGUUUCUAUCGAGGUAUAAAUAAAAGCCAGGAUGCUUGGUCAAAAAAUUGUAUCUGUUUAAUACACAAUAGAAAUGGAUAUAUGACCUACAGGGUGCUUACUUACAGGGAGAUCUGUCUGCAGGGGAGUGCAGGGGGGGCAUGGGCUCAUUGGUAUGAAAUAGCUGUAGCCCAGUAAAGUCCCUGCAUGUGUAUUUUAUUCUGCCAUGCUAUGAAGUUUGGUAAACCUUAAGAAGAUCCUCCAGAGUGGCGGCCAUUGUGAUCUGAGAUCCAAACCAGGAAGCUGCACUGAGCCGGCAACAGCACAGCAAGUGCCUGAGAUUUUAAACCCAAACGACUUGCGCUCACCCAGGAACAGCAGGUCUUUAUCAUGACUCCAUGACAACCAACAAGUCAAACAAAAGCUAAUCCUUAUGUGUUAAGUGUUAUAUCUGCUCCUCCAGGUGCGCUGGCCAAGGUGCUGAAAGGUGGCGACUUCUGAGAGACUAGAACAAAGUCAUUGCAACAAUUGUCUAACAAUAGCUCCUUUUCAAAGUUGGAAAACCAUGUAGAUCCAUUAGCCGAGAAUUUCCGGGAUCACAGCUGCAGUCUGCAUCUUUCCAUUGCUUCUAUUGAUGGACUUCCUCAGGAAUUAUGCAUAUUUGUUAGAAUUUUUCUGAUAAACAUGCAAACAUGCUAUGACAUGCUUUGUGAAGUCAAAUACACAAAAAAAUGAGGGAUCUAGUUACAUGCUGCCUCUACAAGUCUAUGGAGAGAGGAAGAACAAGGGAGGUAGAUUAGAGGGGGAAUGAUUGGAGAAAGCCAGAAACAAAUGAAGACUGCAAAGGUAGUACCCAUGUUUAUACAAUUCUCUUCCCUGAUCUCCAUAUGUUUUACUUAAAUUUUAUGUUUUGAUGGUGUCCUGUGAUCCAUCACUAUAAUCUUCCACCCAGCCUAGAAACUAAAUUUUUCAUUUCACCAUUCCAAAUACAUUCUCCUGUCCAAAACAUUUCAGAUUUAUCGGCCUUUUUUGGAUGUUCCCUUAAAAUUAUGAGGUUGACGUUUCUGUGGUUACAAAAAUAAAAAAUUCUGUGCUGCAUAUAUAGAAGUGACAGCAGGGCCUUCAGGAUUUCCUGAGUCUAGUGAAAGCUGUAACCACCUUUGCCCUUUUCACCAUAUCACUUAGGACAGUAAUUGGACAGAAAGUUAAUGAUACAGAGGAAACUAAAAAGUCUGAUAAUACAAAAGAAAGAAUAGGCAGAAUAUUGCGACAGGUUAGCUACAUAAAGACUAAGAAAGAUUUCUGAUGGUUAACA